ACGCACGCUGGCGGCGUGCUUAAAAAAUGCAAGUCGAACGGUGAAGGGACCGGUUUUUGCUGGUUUUGGAUGAGUGGUGAACGGGUGAGUAAAACGUGAGUAACCUGCCCCCUUCUUCUGGAUAACCGCAUGAAAGUGUGGCUAAUACGGGAUAUUCUGCGCCUGCUGCAUGGUGGGUGUGGGAAAGAUAUUGUUUCGGUGGGGGAUGGGCUCGCGGCCUAUCAGCUUGUUGGUGGGGUGAUGGCCUACCAAGGCGGUGACGGGUAGCCGGCCUGAGAGGGUGGACGGUCACACUGGGACUGAGACACGGCCCAGACUCCUACGGGAGGCAGCAGUGGGGAAUAUUGCACAAUGGGCGCAAGCCUGAUGCAGCGACGCCGCGUGAGGGAUGGAGGCCUUCGGGUUGUAAACCUCUUUCGCCAGUGAAGCAGGCCUGUCCCUUGUGUGGGUGGGUUGACGGUAGCUGGAGAAGAAGCGCCGGCUAACUACGUG
RNAcentral lists this ribosomal RNA (492 nucleotides) under uncultured bacterium. Its description in RNAcentral is "partial 16S ribosomal RNA". It matches the Rfam family "Bacterial small subunit ribosomal RNA", at positions 29 to 507 of the family's 1533-position model. The record is from RNAcentral.